AUCCGGGUACUAUUGUAGGACGUGAAAACACCCGAUCCCAUUCCGACCUCGAUCCGUGAAAUCGUCUUACGCCAUAUGUACUGAUUUAUUUUGGGAGACAUGGUUCAAGCCCGGAC
This 116-nucleotide ribosomal RNA is filed under the name Chara vulgaris. RNAcentral also lists the same sequence under 1 other name. The record is from RNAcentral. Lineage: Eukaryota; Viridiplantae; Streptophyta; Charophyceae; Charales; Characeae.